GACGAACGCUGGCGGCGUGCCUAAUACAUGCCAGUAGAACGCUGAAGGAGGAGCUUGCUUCUCUGGAUGAGUUGCGAACGGGUGAGUAACGCGUAGGUAACCUGCCUGGUAGCGGGGGAUAACUAUUGGAAACGAUAGCUAAUACCGCAUAAUAGUAGAUGUUGCAUGACAUUUGCUUAAAAGGUGCAAUUGCAUCACUACCAGAUGGACCUGCGUUGUAUUAGCUAGUUGGUGGGGUAACGGCUCACCAAGGCGACGAUACAUAGCCGACCUGAGAGGGUGAUCGGCCACACUGGGACUGAGACACGGCCCAGACUCCUACGGGAGGCAGCAGUAGGGAAUCUUCGGCAAUGGACGGAAGUCUGACCGAGCAACGCCGCGUGAGGGAAGAAGGUUUUCGGAUCGUAAAGCUCUGUUGUAAGAGAAGAACGAGUGUGAGAGUGGAAAGUUCACACUGUGACGGUAUCUUACCAGAAAGGGACGGCUAACUACGUG
Molecule: ribosomal RNA, 495 nt
Filed under: uncultured bacterium
Lineage: Bacteria
Description: partial 16S ribosomal RNA
Rfam family: Bacterial small subunit ribosomal RNA
Source: RNAcentral